GCAUAUCAAUAAGCGGAGGAAAAGAAACUAACAAGGAUUCCCCUAGUAACUGCGAGUGAAGCGGGAAAAGCUCAAAUUUAAAAUCUGGCGGUCUCCGGCCGUCCGAGUUGUAAUCUAGAGAAGUGUUAUCCGCGCUGGACCGUGUACAAGUCUCCUGGAAUGGAGCGUCAUAGAGGGUGAGAAUCCCGUCUUUGACACGGACUGCCAGGGCUUUGUGAUGCGCUCUCAAAGAGUCGAGUUGUUUGGGAAUGCAGCUCAAAAUGGGUGGUAAAUUCCAUCUAAAGCUAAAUAUUGGCGAGAGACCGAUAGCGAACAAGUACCGUGAGGGAAAGAUGAAAAGAACUUUGGAAAGAGAGUUAAACAGUACGUGAAAUUGCUGAAAGGGAAACGCUUGAAGUCAGUCGCGUUGGCCGGGGAUCAACCUUGCUUUUGCUGGGCGUACUUUCCGGUUGACGGGUCAGCAUCAAUUUUGACCGUUGGAUAAAGUCUAGGGGAAUGUGGCAUCUUCGGAUGUGUUAUAGCCCUUGGUCGCAUACAACGAUUGGGAUUGAGGAACUCAGCACGCCCGCAAGGUCGGGUACUUGUACCACGUUCGUGCUUAGGAUGCUGGCAUAAUGGCUUUAAUCGACCCGUCUUGAAACACGGACCAAGGAGUCUAACAUGCCUGCGAGUGUUUGGGUGGAAAACUCGGACGCGUAAUGAAAGUGAAAGUUGAGAUCCCUGUCGUGGGGAGCAUCGACGCCCGGACCAGACCUUUUGUGACGGAUCCGCGGUAGAGCAUGUAUGUUGGGACCCGAAAGAUGGUGAACUAUGCCUGAAUAGGGUGAAGCCAGAGGAAACUCUGGUGGAGGCUCGUAGCGAUUCUGACGUGCAAAUCGAUCGUCAAUUUGGG
RNAcentral lists this ribosomal RNA (892 nucleotides) under Hebeloma crustuliniforme f. microspermum. Its description in RNAcentral is "LSU rRNA". It matches the Rfam family "Eukaryotic large subunit ribosomal RNA", at positions 38 to 915 of the family's 3401-position model. The record is from RNAcentral. Lineage: Eukaryota; Fungi; Basidiomycota; Agaricomycetes; Agaricales; Hymenogastraceae.